UCAGAGUGAACGCUGGCGGCGUGGAUAAGGCAUGCAAGUCGAGCGAUCCCCGCAAGGGGAUAGCGGCAAACGGGUGAGUAACGCGUAGGUAACCUACCCUAAAGCGUGGGAUAACCCAACGAAAGAUGGGCUAAUACCACAUGUGUUCACGAGGGGGCAUCUCCUUGUGAAGAAAGAUGGCCUCGACCGCAAGGUUGCUAUCGCUUUUGGAGGGACCUGCGUCCCAUCAGCUAGUUGGUAGGGUUACGGCCUGCCAAGGCUCUUGACGGGUAGCUAGCCUUAGAGGGUGGUUAGCCACACUGGGACUGAGACACUGCCCAGACUCCUACGGGAGGCUGCAGUCGAGAAUAUUUGGCAAUGGACGAAAGUCUGACCAUGCGACGCCGCGUGCGGGAUGAAGGCCUUCGGGUCGUAAACCGCUGUUACGAGGAACGAAGAUCUCAUCCGUGAACAAUGGAUGGGAAGUGACGGUACCUCGGAAGAAAGCCACGGCUAACUCCGUGCCAGCAGCCGCGGUAAUACGGAGGUGGCAAGCGUUACUCGGAUUUACUGGGCGUAAAGGGCACGUAGGCGGCCCAAUAAGCUCUGCCUCAAAUCCCCUCGCUCAACGAGGGAGUGUGGUAGAGGACUGCUGGGCUUGAGGGCUGGAGAGGUGAGCGGAAUUCCCGGUGUAAGGGUGAAAUCUGUAGAGAUCGGGAGGAACACCAGUGGCGAAAGCGGCUCACUGGCCAGCUUCUGACGCUGAGGUGCGAAAGCUAGGGGAGCAAACAGGAUUAGAUACCCUGGUAGUCCUAGCCGUAAACGAUGGACACUAGGUGUCGGCUCCGUUAGGGGUCGGUGCCGUAGCCAACGCGUUAAGUGUCCCGCCUGAGGAGUACGGC
RNAcentral lists this ribosomal RNA (881 nucleotides) under uncultured bacterium. RNAcentral describes it as "bacterial SSU rRNA". It matches the Rfam family "Bacterial small subunit ribosomal RNA", at positions 24 to 886 of the family's 1533-position model. The record is from RNAcentral.